UACGUAGGUGGCAAGCGUUGUCCGGAUUUACUGGGCGUAAAGAGCGCGCAGGCGGUCGUUCAAGUCGCGUGUGAAAGUCGGGGGCUCAACCCUCGGAUGCCGGUGGAUACUGUCGGGCUUGAGUACGGAAGAGGCGAGUGGAAUUCCUGGUGUAGCGGUGAAAUGCGCAGAUAUCAGGAGGAACACCAAUUGCGAAGGCAGCUCGCUGGGACGUUACUGACGCUGAGACGCGAAAGCGUGGGGAGCAAACAGG
Molecule: ribosomal RNA, 253 nt
Filed under: uncultured bacterium
Lineage: Bacteria
Description: partial 16S ribosomal RNA
Rfam family: Bacterial small subunit ribosomal RNA
Source: RNAcentral